GCUGGCGGCGUGCCUAAUACAUGCAAGUCGAGCGAACAGAUAAGGAGCUUGCUCCUUUGACGUUAGCGGCGGACGGGUGAGUAACACGUGGAUAACCUACCUAUAAGACUGGGAUAACUUCGGGAAACCGGAGCUAAUACCGGAUAACAUAUUGAACCGCAUGGUUCAAUAGUGAAAGGCGGCUUUGCUGUCACUUAUAGAUGGAUCCGCGCCGUAUUAGCUAGUUGGUAAGGUAACGGCUUACCAAGGCAACGAUACGUAGCCGACCUGAGAGGGUGAUCGGCCACACUGGAACUGAGACACGGUCCAGACUCCUACGGGAGGCAGCAGUAGGGAAUCUUCCGCAAUGGGCGAAAGCCUGACGGAGCAACGCCGCGUGAGUGAUGAAGGUCUUCGGAUCGUAAAACUCUGUUAUCAGGGAAGAACAAAUGUGUAAGUAACUGUGCACAUCUUGACGGUACCUGAUCAGAAAGCCACGGCUAACUACGUGCCAGCAGCCGCGGUAAUACGUAGGUGGCAAGCGUUAUCCGGAAUUAUUGGGCGUAAAGCGCGCGUAGGCGGUUUUUUAAGUCUGAUGUGAAAGCCCACGGCUCAACCGUGGAGGGUCAUUGGAAACUGGAAAACUUGAGUGCAGAAGAGGAAAGUGGAAUUCCAUGUGUAGCGGUGAAAUGCGCAGAGAUAUGGAGGAACACCAGUGGCGAAGGCGACUUUCUGGUCUGUAACUGACGCUGAUGUGCGAAAGCGUGGGGAUCAAACAGGAUUAGAUACCCUGGUAGUCCACGCCGUAAACGAUGAGUGCUAAGUGUUAGGGGGUUUCCGCCCCUUAGUGCUGCAGCUAACGCAUUAAGCACUCCGCCUGGGGAGUACG
Molecule: ribosomal RNA, 868 nt
Filed under: Staphylococcus sp. VTT E-071479
Lineage: Bacteria; Bacillati; Bacillota; Bacilli; Caryophanales; Staphylococcaceae
Description: bacterial SSU rRNA
Rfam family: Bacterial small subunit ribosomal RNA
Source: RNAcentral